ACAAAAUAACAGAAUAAAACCUGUCUUAUUAUACAGUAUCCUUUGCAGCAGUGGAAACGUACUGUUAUGGCAGACAGGAUGGACCUCAGUGCUAUGGAGUUCUUGGAGGUACUGUGUUGAUCAAGCUGAUGGACAACUCCUCAGAAAUACCCAUAUUCAACUUGAAAAAGGAUCACAAGGGUUGGUGUCCGAAAGAAUAACAUCCUACCUAAUGCCAUGAAUAGCAGUUCUGUUUUAAUCUUGAGUAAUGGAGCAAUCAGAAUCAGCAACCUGAGCUGAACCAACAGUGGUGAAUAUACUCUGGAGGUCUUUGAUUCCGAGGGACGCAAUAAAGGACAGAGGACUCUUCAGUUGUUUGUUCAAGUGGAAGUAGAUGAUCAGGAACUGUCCUACACUGAUGUCAGUGUUGUGCAACAGAGGAGGCGAAGUGGAGCAAAGUGCAGAGGCAGAAGUGGAGUACAAUAGAGUAAAGAUGUCAGAACUGCCAGCCACCGGAUCCGGCAGCAGAUGAUGUUGUGUAUGCACAAAUUUGUAAAGAGAAUUGAUUUUAUGGAUUUCAUGGAAGAUGGAUUCAUGAAGGCUGCCUAGUCCAGGCACUACAGAUGUCAGAUAUUGGGACACAUGGUAUCAAAAUAUCCAACCCAAAGUGUACAGUCAUGGCGUCAAGAUGUUGGCCAAUGCUUUUGUUUGUUCAUGUAUUUUCAUCUUGAGAAUAACACCAGAUGUCAGUCAUUUUCUACCACUUAUUCCAUAGUGGGUCACGGGGGAGCUGGUGCCUAUCUUCAGCAGUCUAUGGGCGAGAGGCGGGGUACACCCUGGACAGGUCGCCAGUCCAUCGCAGGGC
Long non-coding RNA from Girardinichthys multiradiatus, 844 nucleotides. RefSeq lists it as uncharacterized. The record is from RefSeq and is a predicted model, not a curated record. Lineage: Eukaryota; Metazoa; Chordata; Actinopteri; Cyprinodontiformes; Goodeidae. The transcript is spliced from 3 exons.